UGGGGAAUAUUGGACAAUGGGCGCAAGCCUGAUCCAGCCAUGCCGCGUGAGUGAUGAAGGCCCUAGGGUUGUAAAGCUCUUUCACCGGUGAAGAUAAUGACGGUAACCGGAGAAGAAGUCCCGGCCAACUUCGUGCCAGCAGCCGCGGUAAUACGAAGGGGGCUAGCGUUGUUCGGAUUUACUGGGCGUAAAGCGCACGUAGGCGGACUUUUAAGUCAGGGGUGAAAUCCCGGGGCUCAACCCCGGAACUGCCUUUGAUACUGGAAGUCUUGAGUAUGGUAGAGGUGAGUGGAAUUCCGAGUGUAGAGGUGAAAUUCGUAGAUAUUCGGAGGAACACCAGUGGCGAAGGCGGCUCGCUGGACCAUUACUGACGCUGAGGUGCGAAAGCGUGGGGAGCAAACAGG
Molecule: ribosomal RNA, 404 nt
Filed under: Actinomycetes bacterium
Lineage: Bacteria; Bacillati; Actinomycetota; Actinomycetes
Description: Actinobacteria bacterium partial 16S ribosomal RNA
Rfam family: Bacterial small subunit ribosomal RNA
Source: RNAcentral